UUUUUUUUUGCUGUACGCGGGCCUCUCACUGUUGUGGCCUCUCCCAUUGCGGAGCACAGGCUCCGGACGCGCAGGCUCAGCAGCCAUGGCUCACGGGCCCAGCCGCUCCGCGGCAUGUGGGAUCUUCCCGGACCGGGGCACGAACCCAUGUUCCCUGCAUCGGCAGGUGGACUCUCAACCACUGCGCCACCAGGGAAGCUCCCCCAUUUCUUCUUUUUCCUAGAGAAUUCAUCUUCUCCAAGUUUGCUGGGAUGGGGAGUGAAAAAUUUUGUGUCUCUGUUGUACCCCUUGAAUGUAUCCCUUCCUCUUAAACUCCCCAUUCGCCCAGGACACAUCUGAAACCCAGAGAGCCAUCUGUCAUCUGCUCUGAGUCUCAGAUUUAAUUCUAACGCAGGCCUCAAGGUUAAAGGGCCUGUUUGCCUCAGUCUCCAACAGCCUUUAAAAGUCAAUCCCCAUAAAAAGCUUUAUUCUUCCCCUGUCCAGAGGAAGCCUCAGGAUUUGUUUUCUUUUACCCUAAAUAUAUUUGCUCUACACCAGUAGGUGGCAGUAUUUCUAUGCUUUUCUCCCCUCCAUGCUCUGCUAUAAACAGGACUUAUGGGAAAGCAGAGUAGGUUGGAACGGUAUUAAGGGUUCCCUUCCCCACCCCAAAGGAACCCAUUACCUUGUUAGUUUCGUUCAUUUGAGAACAGAUAAUCUUUCACUUUUUAAAGUUUUAAACUUAAAAAUUCUUUUUAUUUUGAAACCAUCUCAAAUUUACCUAAAAGUUGCAAUUAUAGUACAAGGCCCUUAGCUUUUUCAGAAUAUUUUGAGUUAGUUGCUGUUGUGAGGCGCCAGCACCGCCGAGUACUUUGUGUUUCCUGCAGACAAGGGCACCUCCUCCACGCUCUAGACGGCCUUCAAAGUCAGAACAUUGGCAAUUGUGCGUCACUAUCGCGUAACCCUCAGAUACCGUUCAAGUUUCACUUCUUGUUCCGGUGAUGCCCUCUACGGCAGACGGACCCAGUCCAGAAUGACCACUGCAUUGAGUAAUCAUGUUCCCUCCCUUAGAAGCUGCCACGGUGUAGUUAGAAGUUCCCUGCAUCACAGAGCCUGUGGAAAUGGUGAUGCAGGGAAGAACACUCCUUUCUUUGUUCGCGAAUCUGAUCCAUAUGGAUAGAGUAUUUAGCCUACAUGCAGAGUCCUGUAGAGGCUCCAAACAGGAAGCCUCUAAAUUAGCCAGCAGCGAGUUUUUAAGGUUACCGGGAUGCCAUAUUCAGUUUUCAGACAUUUUCACCAACCGCAGUUGAGGACAACCGCGCGUGGGUGUCAACCAUGAUGUUGCUUUUCGAUUUGACUCCCUCUACUUCCUGCCAAGGAGUUUCUUUCUACGAGAAGGCAUCGCAGCUGCUCUCCUCCUACCUGUACACUGCAGGAGCCCCGGACAGUUCCCUGCUUCUUACUGUGCCCCUCCCAUGGGUUGAACUGCAUCACCCUAAAAGGAGAAGAGACAUGGAAACACACACACACAGGGAAGACAGCCAUGUGAGGAUGGAGGCGGAGAGUGGAGCGAUGCUGCCACAAGCCCAGGGCUGCCUGGGGACACCAAGAGCUGGAAAAGGCAAGGAAUCCUCCUCCCCUAGAGACUUUGGAGGGAGCGAGACCUUUGAUCUUUUUUCUUUUUUCGGCCACACAGCAUGUGGGAUUUUAGUUCCCUGACCAGGGAUUGAACCUGUGCCCCCUGCAGUGGAAGCACGGAGCCCUAACCACUGGACUGCCAGGGAAUUCCCUCAACACCUUGAUUUUGGACUUCUAGCCUCCAGAACUGUGAGACAAUAAAUUUCUGUCGUCUUAAGCUGCCCAGUUUGUGGUACUUUACUAUGGCAGGCUGAAGAAGCUAAUACACGUCCUAUAAUCACUUUUUAUGCACAACGGCCAGAGGAACCUUUGCAACUUAAGUCAGAUUGUGCCCUUUCUCUGCAUAAAAACCUCUUUUGAUUUUCCUCUGAAUUUAUGAUGAAAUCCAAGCUCUUUGCCAGGCGCAAUGAGGCCUUACACAUCUGGCCCUGAUGAUUUCUGGUCUCACCACCUACCCCCACCUCUGUUCCUCCUGUUUGUUUCUGGAACAGGGUUGCUGACUCUUUCCACUCACUGGGUCUAUGACCCUGAAGGAAUGAGUUGGAGUCACUAACCUCACCCCGAGUAUUGCUUCAUUUCCUCCAGAUCACAUAUCCCGACGUCGCAUUUCUGUACUAGCUCGUCAUUGGUCCUAGUCCCUCUAUGGUGAAGGUCGUGAGGUCUGAGCUCACCACGUUGCCAUGUCCUGUGUCCAGAACAGUGCUGGGCACAGCUAGUGUGGGAGCUUCAUAUAUAUUUGAAUGAGCAGUCAAGCCUCAUCCAAGGAGAGGCCCGAAGACAUCUCAACACACCUAACGACUGAGAGGUCACAUUUUGGCAUCAGAGUGUCCUGGUCUGUGUGAGGUUCUUUUCACCCUUCUCAAGGGUCAUCCCAUGUGCCUCUAAUGUUAAAUUCUGCUUGAUCAAGCAAAUAUGACAAAGUGUUAAUGGUUGGUGCAUCUAGGUGAAGGGGGUAUGGGUAUUCAUUGUACCAUUCUGUCAUCUUACUCUACGUUUGAAAUUUUUCAAAAGAAAAAGUUGGGGGAAAAAAUCAGCCAAAGAAAAUACUGUAUGAUUUCAAAUCGCCUUAAGAGAAACUUUGUGUUGUAGGCCUGAAGGACUAACAGCCUGAUUGUAUCAGAUAAUUGACAGUAGAGUAUUUGGUUCAUUCGGGAAUAUGAUGCAUCUGAUGGCCAACAUGUCUAUUUUAUGUAUCUUUAAGGUCAGUCAGAGGUCUUUGCAACAAAACAGGGCAAGAUUAGCAUGCCACAUAUGUUUUAUUUCUGCUGUGGAAACCUGAGAUGUAGUUUUCAUGGGUGAAUGGCAUUCUGUGUUGUCUCCCUGGGACCCUCACCCCUCUGAGCCUUUCACAGAGGGAUCGUCCUCUGUAGAACUUCAGGUGUGUUUCCAGAUGCUCCUCCUGGAAUUGUGUCAGGUGACCCCAAACCCACGAACCAAGACUUUUCUGUUUGUGUUUAAGCCCUGUCCCACUUUCAGGAAACACUGGGCCUCUGGUUCUCUCUGGACAACUGAAACAAAGAGUGAAAUUCUAGAAUUCUCUUAUGGAAUGCAGCAAAAGCAGUUCUAAGAGGGAAGUUCAUCAGACUUGUGGUUGCCGAGGGUUGGGGGAAAGGAGAGGGUUGGAUUGGGAGUUUGGGGAUUAGCAAAUGCAAACCAUUAUGUAUAGGAUGGAUAAACAACAAGGUCCUACCGUAUAGCACAGGGAACUAUAUUCAAUAUCCUGUGAUAAAUUAUAAUUGAAAAGAAUAUUAAAAAGAAUGUAUAUAUAUAUAUGUGUAUAACUGAAUCACUUUGCUGUAUAGCAGAAAUUAACACAACAUGGUAAAGCAACUAUACUUCAAUAAAAUAAAUUUAAAAAAUAAAAGAAAGAGGGAAGUUCAUAACAAUAAGUGCUUCCAUCAGGAAACAAGACAAAUCUUCAAUAACAACCUAACUUUACACCUCAAGGAACUAGAAGAGGAAGAACAAAGUCCAGAGUUAGUAGAAGGAAGGAAAUAACAAAAACUAAGGCGGAAAUAAAAGAAAUAGAGAAUAAAAAGACAAAAGAAAAUAUCAAUGAAAUGAUAUUUAGAGCUGGUUCAUUGAAAAGAUAAACAAAAUUGACAAAUCUUUAGCUAGAAUCACUCAGAAUGUUCUCAGGUGUGGUGAGUAAAAAUUAACAGAAUUUCUUUUGGAAGGUAUGAAAUGAUCUAAAAAUUAAGCAAUGCACCAAUAAUGGAAGGAUAUGACAGAAGGAGCUCAAAAAGAUUGAUACUCAUGUCUCUUAAGGACUUUUCGUUGCAAAUAUGAUAGUUGACCAUUUUUCCUGGUAGACUAAAUAAAAGGAGGGGGGCAAAAAUGGGAAAAUUCUUAAAGUUACAUAAACUACAACAGGAAGACCUGAGGUUUCAAGUUAUUUUGGGCUUUGCACAUUGAAUCACUUGAUGAUGAAUGAAAGGAUUUGAUUUUGUUCAUCACCUCUUAACUGGUAGAUGGUUUUUCUAAAGAGUGACAGGAUGCGGUCAGCCACGCUGAGAGAGUCACUGUCCUGGUGGUCUCUGGGGUGGAGGGGAAUAACUAGAACUCAUCACCUAUGUUGUCAUUCAAAGCAUAACUUGACCCUUCACAAUUGCCUGACUGUCCUGCAAUUUCUUCUCCUGGGCUUUUAGCUGCCUGCACCCAGCCUCUUGGGGCCUGGGUCCUGCCCCACUCCCCCUUCCCCACACCUCUGCCUGGGAUCCCUGCUGCCCUCUGCCCUGGGGCGUUGGUGGGGGAGGUCCAUGCUCCAUUUCUGCUGCCAUUUCCUACUCCUGGCGGGGCCUGUUUGUAGGUGCAGGAGGAUCAGAGUCAAGUGCAGGCCCCGUGGCAUCUGGGACAGGGCAAGGCAGUGGCCUCUCACCCACUCCUGGUCCAGGUACACAGCAUGUCCCACACAGAGGUUGCAAUCCCUUGGGGGUCUCCCAUUUUUUGUGUGUUGGGGAGAUGGGCCCGAGGGAAGGGGAGGUUCACUUCCCCACCCCACUGGGCUGUGCAUUUUCAUUUUGCAUUGGGUUCUGCACAUUAUGUAGCUGGCCCCGUGUGCCAGGACCUGGGGCAGCAGCAAAGCAGCAGAGGAGGGGAGGUAUGGAUACAUUCUCCCUAUUAAUUCCAUCCCUGGUUGGUUCUGGUAUCAGGCUACAAAACUUUCCUUUACGAAACUUUAUCAACGCUGCUCAGACUUCUUGCCUUUAUUCACAUAAUUUUUCUGUUCUGGAAUGUCUUCUUCUAGCCUCUCUGAUUUUCCAACUUCUCCUUAUUUUUAAAGGCCCAAAUCAAUAUUCAUCUCUCUCACAAGACUUCCGGCCCACUCCAGGCAUCAUUGCUGAUUCUCUGCUCUGAAAUCAGGCUGUAUCUUAGUACUAUUUCCGAAUUAAACAUAGAUUUCUCAUUGUACAUGCAGUGUUCGUUGUUUAGCCUUGUUAUUGAACUUGUCGUGUGCUAGUGUCUUGUUUACAUGACUCUGUUCUUGCCUCGGUCUCCUAGGAAAUGUUCUAGAUGCGAGCAUACAUAUUUGUUGCUUGAAUGAUACGUUGGAUGUGUGAUGGCGUUUUUGGAAAAUAAGGGAAUGAUGAAGACCGUACUUCCUUUAGAAGUUGUUGAUUGGUCAAAAUCAAACUUCUGAUUUAAGUGAUUUUGAAUGAUAAAUUCGAGAAGAAGUAAUGAUGAAUUAGAAACUGACCAUGAAAAAACGAAUAUUUCAGCUGGAAGAUAGCGGUUUCAGCAGGAGUAGUUCUGCUUGAUUUGAACCCUGUUUUUAGCAAUCGCGAGGUUACUGUAGCUCUGAAUGGAAUUCUCACUGUGACGUGAGCAUGUGUCUUUUUCCAGACCCACAAAUUAUGCUCUGUACCCCAAACAGGAGGGUAAGGAAAGUUCUGGGAACUCAGGCAAUGCUGCCUCGGCCCUGCUCAGCUUUUGAAAGUCCCCCCAGCCGGGAGCUAAUGUACUUGGGCCACACUUCACCUUCGUCUUCGCUGGAGUUUCCUCCUGACUUUGGUGAUUUCCUGGGUCUGUUGAGUUACCACAGCUCUUGCUGCAGGACCCACCACAGCAGGGUUCCCAUACUGCGAAGCACCCAAGGCUCAAAGGAUUUCAUUUCAACGAAAGAGGCUCCUUUUCUGUUUUCGUCCAGUGACCAAGGUGAACACAUGGGCCGUUAGCUCCAUUUUCGGAGGAGUUUUCAGAUCAUGCUUUAAAAACCACGAAUGAGGUCAGCGCCUCCAUGGUACCUGGAAGCUUGCAUCCAGCAGCGUUCUUGUUUUCUCACUUGGAUGGGAAAGAGCUGUGGAGGUACCGUCCUCCCGGGAGUUCCGGAGUCUGAAAACAGAGGCCUUGGGUUGUAUGAAAAGGUCUCUAUUCUUUCUUUAAAUAUUCACAGAGUCCCACGCCAGAAAACAAAACAAGAUUGCUUUAUCAGUCACCCAACAGUGAGAGAGGAAAGCCGCCCACUUCUCCAUGCUUCCUUUCAAAGUGACCUCAGCGACCCUGACAGAUUCAUGGAAUUAAUUAGAAACAACAGUAAGGAUGCCGUGGGAUGGGCGAUUUUGUCACUAGACAACGUUUCGGAACUUCCCUGAGGAGCCUCUGCUGCCUCCGACCCACCUCACUGCCCACGCACCCACCCUGCGAUGCAGACCCUCCCGGGAGGGGCUCAGACCACCUUCCCCCUUGUUGCCGCCUUCCACGUGGGCCCUCCCGGGUCCCACAAACCCACCCGACAGGCUGCCGCUCCACUCAGGCAUCUGUAGGGGUCUGAGCUUAGUCAAGCCCUGUGGCCCCCUAAGCUCUCGCCCUGACCGCAGACCCUCACUGGGUCAAGGGUGGUCGACCAGCUCAAGACUCAGUUCCCCACAGAGGCCACGUCCUGUGAGGAAAAGGAAGAGAUGGAAACCUAGCUCUCAAGGGUCUGCUCAGGGCCAGGCACUGUGCUGGGAGGAAUCUUACUCCUGUGUGAUCUCAUUUCAUCAUGUAAGUGGCCCUUCAGUUAUAUAGAAGGGGAAACAGAGGCAGAAAGAUUAAAAAACAUAUUGACGGUUGCAUUGCAUUCCAGUGGUAUCCAGGGUAGGGUGGGUCCGCUCUAGGGAAGGUGGCAAAUUAAAUCUCAUUGAUUAACCUCUAACCACGUGAGUGCUAUCUAACUGGCCAGCUUCUAGAUUAAAUUGUGGCAGGUAAAUUAUUUGGAAAAAAAUAGUUGAUUUCCACGUGACCAUAUUGUCUCUGUGAAUUAAUGACGGAAGAAAGUUCUGUAUGUUCACAUAGGAUUCCAAGGUUAUUUCAAGAAUUAUUCACAUAUGGGAAUAGUUUCACCUUCAGAACACAAACUCUCAGCUUUUGGAAUAUGGGCAUCUUAUAUGGCCCACCAAGAACCCCAUUGAAAACAUAAAUAUCAUUCAAGUUCCCAUCUCAAUUCCUGGCUCUUUUUCCCUUAGGAAAGAUCUUCCAAAAUAUAUAGUGUUUUGGAUAUGUAUGUUAUUUUUUGUUGGGAAAUAACCAUAAUAGUCACUAAUAUCUAUAUAGCUCUUAUGGCGUGCCAGGCAUUGCCUUCAGUACUUUACAUAUAUUUCCUCAUUUAAUCACCAUAACAAUCCUGUGAGGUAGAUAUCAUUCCUAUCUCCAUCUCACAUGUAAGGAAAUUGAGGCCCAGAUGGAGGCCCAGAGAGGUUAAGAACUUGCCUGAGGACAAACAGCUGGUAGAUGGUAGAGCCAAGGCUUGCAGCCAGUCAGUCUGGGUUUAAAGUACGCUCAGUCUGUGGAUUAUGAGACAGAUGGUGGGAUCGUUGGGUUGUAUUACAGCAUGUCCAAAGUGAAAGGUAAGUGCACCAUUACGUAAAAAUAAUAGGUUACGGAGAAUUGACUAUAUACCAGGCUCUACAGUAACCUCUUUAGAUGUAUUUGAUAUUCAUAACAGCCCCAGACCUUUCUGACUAUGAAGCCUGUAAUUUUGACACCACCCUUCACUAUAGAGCCUCGGCUCAGAGUUGCUUUGCUUUGAGUUUCUUAGCUAUUUGUAAGGUUGAUUAUUUCUACAUGGGUUAGUUUAAUAUCUGCGUUAGGUGAUGUUUAUAGUCAAUAAUAGAUAAGCAAUCUGAACAAGUCUAACCAAAUGAAAAGAGAUAAUUUCAUUUGCUUUGAGCACUUAUAAAAUCCACAGCCAGGCAUAGCACAGGGAGAUCAGCUCAGUGCUUUGUGAUGACCU
Molecule: long non-coding RNA, 7825 nt
Organism: Orcinus orca (killer whale)
Lineage: Eukaryota; Metazoa; Chordata; Mammalia; Artiodactyla; Delphinidae
Exons: 5
Source: RefSeq, a predicted model, not a curated record